Molecule: ribosomal RNA, 247 nt
Filed under: uncultured bacterium
Lineage: Bacteria
Also listed under: 1 other name
Description: partial 16S ribosomal RNA
Rfam family: Bacterial small subunit ribosomal RNA
Source: RNAcentral
CACGCCCUAAACGAUGCGAACUGGAUGUUGGGUGCAACUUGGCACCCAGUAUCGAAGCUAACGCGUUAAGUUCGCCGCCUGGGGAGUACGGUCGCAAGACUGAAACUCAAAGGAAUUGACGGGGGCCCGCACAAGCGGUGGAGUAUGUGGUUUAAUUCGAUGCAACGCGAAGAACCUUACCUGGUCUUGACAUCCACGGAACUUUCCAGAGAUGGAUUGGUGCCUUCGGGAACCGUGAGACAGGUGC